This 253-nucleotide ribosomal RNA is filed under the name uncultured bacterium. RNAcentral describes it as "partial 16S ribosomal RNA". It matches the Rfam family "Bacterial small subunit ribosomal RNA", at positions 524 to 776 of the family's 1533-position model. The record is from RNAcentral.
UACGUAGGCAGCAAGCGUUGUUCGGAAUUACUGGGCGUAAAGGGCGCGUAGGCGGCCUGCUAAGUCGAACGUGAAAUCCCUGGGCUCAACCCAGGAACUGCGUCCGAUACUGGCAGGCUUGAAUCCGGGAGAGGGAUGCGGAAUUCCAGGUGUAGCGGUGAAAUGCGUAGAUAUCUGGAGGAACACCGGUGGCGAAGGCGGCAUCCUGGACCGGCAUUGACGCUGAGGCGCGAAAGCCAGGGGAGCAAACGGG